UUUAGAGUUUGAUUCCUGGCUCAGGACGAACGCUGGCGGCGUGCCUAAUACAUGCAAGUCGAACGCUUUUUCUUUCACCGGAGCUUGCUCCACCGAAAGAAAAAGAGUGGCGAACGGGUGAGUAACACGUGGGUAACCUGCCCAUCAGAAGGGGAUAACACUUGGAAACAGGUGCUAAUACCGUAUAACACUAUUUUCCGCAUGGAAGAAAGUUGAAAGGCGCUUUUGCGUCACUGAUGGAUGGACCCGCGGUGCAUUAGCUAGUUGGUGAGGUAACGGCUCACCAAGGCAACGAUGCAUAGCCGACCUGAGAGGGUGAUCGGCCACACUGGGACUGAGACACGGCCCAGACUCCUACGGGAGGCAGCAGUAGGGAAUCUUCGGCAAUGGACGAAAGUCUGACCGAGCAACGCCGCGUGAGUGAAGAAGGUUUUCGGAUCGUAAAACUCUGUUGUUAGAGAAGAACAAGGAUGAGAGUAAAACGUUCAUCCCUUGACGGUAUCUAACCAGAAAGCCACGGCUAACUACGUGCCAGCAGCCGCGGUAAUACGUAGGUGGCAAGCGUUGUCCGGAUUUAUUGGGCGUAAAGCGAGCGCAGGCGGUUUCUUAAGUCUGAUGUGAAAGCCCCCGGCUCAACCGGGGAGGGUCAUUGGAAACUGGGAGACUUGAGUGCAGAAGAGGAGANGAUCC
Molecule: ribosomal RNA, 690 nt
Filed under: Enterococcus gallinarum
Lineage: Bacteria; Bacillati; Bacillota; Bacilli; Lactobacillales; Enterococcaceae
Description: bacterial SSU rRNA
Rfam family: Bacterial small subunit ribosomal RNA
Source: RNAcentral